UACCAGCUCUCCGAGUGGUAGGGAUGAUUAUUGGGCUUAAAGCGUCCGUAGCCGGCUUAGCAAGUCUCCUGUUAAAUUCAGCGACCUAAUCGUUGAGCCGCGGGAGAUACUACUAGGCUAGGAGGCGGGAGAGGUCAACGGUACUUCCGGGGUAGGGGUGAAAUCCUAUAAUCCCGGGAGGACCACCAGUGGCGAAGGCUGUUGACUAGAACGCGCUCGACGGUGAGGGACGAAAGCUGGGGGAGCGAACCGGAUUAGAUACCCGGGUAGUCCCAGCUGUAAACGAUGCGAGCUAGGUGUUGGGGUGGCUACGUGCCACUUCAGUGCCGCAGGGAAGCCGUUAAGCAUGCCGCCUGGGAAGUACGAUCGCAAGAUUGAAACUUAAAGGAUUGGCGGGGAGCACCACCAGGCGUGAAGCCUGCGGUUU
RNAcentral lists this ribosomal RNA (427 nucleotides) under uncultured archaeon. Its description in RNAcentral is "bacterial SSU rRNA". It matches the Rfam family "Archaeal small subunit ribosomal RNA", at positions 474 to 903 of the family's 1478-position model. The record is from RNAcentral.